CAGGCACAACCUCAUGCCCUUCUCUUAGUAAAGGACAGCGUUUCGCUUGGAGCCGAGAUAUUUUUUCCACCCUUUUGGCCUCGCCGAGCUUUUUAACGAUCACUUCCAUGCUGCUUGUCUCUAAUCUGCUGAGAGAUGCUGUCGGUACAAACUGUACUGUGAGACUGUGAGAAAAUUACACCACAACCCACAUGGAAGCCCUGCUUUUGGUUCCAGGAUGUCUGCUGGGACUGCUGUUAAGAAUAUGUGUCUAAAGAAGGAGCUCAUUCUAAUUCUUGGUGCACAGCUAGAAAGCAGAUGUUUCGUGGAAGUGCUGAAGAUCAGACAGCUAACUAGAGGAAGAUCGAUACUGAAACUCAUUUAAUUUCCAGAUGCAGGUGCUGCUUUCUUUGCUGAAGGCAUCAUUCUCAGAUGGGGUCUCUGCAGUGUGGUGGUAAAGAUGGCUACCACAAGCUCCUGACUUACAUCUUGUUUCAAAUGCUGAUGGAUAUUGGAAGUAUGGCUACUGUGUCUCCCCAAAUGAUUUAGUCUCCAAAAUUAAAACACAAAAUUAAAAUAAAA
Molecule: long non-coding RNA, 561 nt
Organism: Galeopterus variegatus (Sunda flying lemur)
Lineage: Eukaryota; Metazoa; Chordata; Mammalia; Dermoptera; Cynocephalidae
Exons: 3
Source: RefSeq, a predicted model, not a curated record